CCUACGGGUGGCGCAGCAGUGAGGAAUAUUGGUCAAUGGGCGGAAGCCUGAACCAGCCAAGUCGCGUGAGGGAUUAAGGCCCUGCGGGUCGUAAACCUCUUUUGCCGGGGAGCAGAGGUCCGGACGUGGCCGGGCCGGGAGAGCACCCGGAGAAAAAGCAUCGGCUAACUCCGUGCCAGCAGCCGCGGUAAUACGGAGGAUGGGAGCGUUAUCCGGAUUUAUUGGGUUUAAGGGGUGCGUAGGGGGGCAUUUAAGCCGGCGGUCAAAUGUCGGGGCUCAACCCCGGCCUGCCGUCGGAACUGGGUGCCUGGAGUGGGCGAGAAGUAUGCGGAAUGCGUGGUGUAGCGGUGAAAUGCAUAGAUAUCACGCAGAACCCCGAUUGCGAAGGCAGCAUACCGGCGCCCUACUGACGCUGAGGCACGAAAGUGCGGGUAUCGAACAGGAUUAGAUACCCGUGUAGUC
RNAcentral lists this ribosomal RNA (462 nucleotides) under uncultured bacterium. RNAcentral's name for it is "partial 16S ribosomal RNA". It matches the Rfam family "Bacterial small subunit ribosomal RNA", at positions 338 to 795 of the family's 1533-position model. The record is from RNAcentral.